UGCAGUCGAGCGCGCCCUUCGGGGUGAGCGGCGGACGGGUUAGUAACGCGUGGGAAUAUACCCUUUUCUGCGGAAUAGCCUCUGGAAACGGAGAGUAAUACCGUAUGAGCCCUUCGGGGGAAAGAUUUAUCGGGGAAGGAUUAGCCCGCGUUAGAUUAGGUAGUUGGUGGGGUAAUGGCCUACCAAGCCUACGAUCUAUAGCUGGUUUUAGAGGAUGAUCAGCAACACUGGGACUGAGACACGGCCCAGACUCCUACGGGAGGCAGCAGUGGGGAAUCUUGGACAAUGGGGGCAACCCUGAUCCAGCCAUGCCGCGUGAGUGAUGAAGGCCUUAGGGUCGUAAAGCUCUUUCGCCUGUGAAGAUAAUGACGGUAGCAGGUAAAGAAACCCCGGCUAACUCCGUGCCAGCAGCCGCGGUAAUACGGAGGGGGUUAGCGUUGUUCGGAAUUACUGGGCGUAAAGCGCACGUAGGCGGACUGGAAAGUUGGGGGUGAAAUCCCAGGGCUCAACCCUGGAACUGCCUCCAAAACUAUCAGUCUAGAGUUCGAGAGAGGUGAGUGGAAUUCCGAGUGUAGAGGUGAAAUUCGUAGAUAUUCGGAGGAACACCAGUGGCGAAGGCGGCUCACUGGCUCGAUACUGACGCUGAGGUGCGAAAGUGUGGGGAGCAAACAGGAUUAGAUACCCUGGUAGUCCACACCGUAAACGAUGAAUGCCAGUCGUCGGGUAGCAUGCUAUUCGGUGACACACCUAACGGAUUAAGCAUUCCGCCUGGGGAGUACGGUCGCAAGAUUAAAACUCAAAGGAAUUGACGGGGGC
This 816-nucleotide ribosomal RNA is filed under the name Ruegeria sp. RNAcentral's name for it is "bacterial SSU rRNA". It matches the Rfam family "Bacterial small subunit ribosomal RNA", at positions 56 to 920 of the family's 1533-position model. Lineage: Bacteria; Pseudomonadati; Pseudomonadota; Alphaproteobacteria; Rhodobacterales; Roseobacteraceae. The record is from RNAcentral.